GAUCUCAUCGUAGGAAAAUGCGAAUCUUCAUUUCCACUAGAUAAGGAACUUUUUGAAACCAAUGGACGAUUGAAGGAUCCGGACCAGUUUGGUUUUUGGGUCACCUCAUGCAAUCAGCUUUUUGUAUUCGGCAAAUCUUUGGUGA
Cloeon dipterum is the source of this 145-nucleotide long non-coding RNA. RefSeq lists it as uncharacterized. The record is from RefSeq and is a predicted model, not a curated record. Lineage: Eukaryota; Metazoa; Arthropoda; Insecta; Ephemeroptera; Baetidae. The transcript is spliced from 3 exons.